Molecule: ribosomal RNA, 253 nt
Filed under: uncultured bacterium
Lineage: Bacteria
Description: partial 16S ribosomal RNA
Rfam family: Bacterial small subunit ribosomal RNA
Source: RNAcentral
UACGAAGGGUGCAAACGUUGCUCGGAAUCAUUGGGCGUAAAGCGCACGUAGGCGGCCUCAAAAGUCGGAUGUGAAAUCCCGUGGCUCAACCAUGGACGUGCAUUCGAAACUGCGAGGCUUGAGUAUGGAAGAGGGUCGCGGAAUUCCCGGUGUAGAGGUGAAAUUCGUAGAUAUCGGGAGGAACACCAGUGGCGAAGGCGGCUCACUGGACCGGUAUUGACGCUGAGGUGCGAAAGCGUGGGGAGCAAACAGG